GAUGAACGCUGGCGGCGUGCUUAACACAUGCAAGUUGAACGGGAAACCUUUUAUUGAAGCUUCGGCAGAUUUAGCUGGUUUCUAGUGGCGGACGGGUGAGUAACGCGUGGGUAACCUGCCCUAUACAGGGGGAUAACAACCAGAAAUGGUUGCUAAUACCGCAUAAGCGCACAGGACCGCAUGGUCCGGUGUGAAAAACUCCGGUGGUAUAGGAUGGACCCGCGUUGGAUUAGCCAGUUGGCGGGGUAACGGCCUACCAAAGCGACGAUCCAUAGCCGGCCUGAGAGGGUGAACGGCCACAUUGGGACUGAGACACGGCCCAGACUCCUACGGGAGGCAGCAGUGGGGAAUAUUGCACAAUGGGGGAAACCCUGAUGCAGCGACGCCGCGUGAAGGAAGAAGUAUCUCGGUAUGUAAACUUCUAUCAGCAGGGAAGAU
RNAcentral lists this ribosomal RNA (438 nucleotides) under uncultured bacterium. RNAcentral's name for it is "bacterial SSU rRNA". It matches the Rfam family "Bacterial small subunit ribosomal RNA", at positions 28 to 449 of the family's 1533-position model. The record is from RNAcentral.